AGAGUUUGAUCCUGGCUCAGGAUGAACGCUGGCGGCGUGCUUAACACAUGCAAGUCGAACGGGGAUGUUAUGUGAGCGUAGUUAGCUUGCUAAUGACAAUCUUUUAACAUCCUAGUGGCGGACGGGUGAGUAACGCGUGGGUAACCUGCCAUAUACAGGGGGAUAACACUUAGAAAUAGGUGCUAAUACCGCAUAAGCGCACGAUGUCGCAUGACAUCGUGUGAAAAACUCCGGUGGUAUAUGAUGGACCCGCGUCUGAUUAGCUAGUUGGUGGGGUAACGGCCUACCAAGGCGACGAUCAGUAGCCGGCCUGAGAGGGUGAACGGCCACAUUGGGACUGAGACACGGCCCAAACUCCUACGGGAGGCAGCAGUGGGGAAUAUUGGACAAUGGGGGGAACCCUGAUCCAGCGACGCCGCGUGAGUGAAGAAGUAUUUCGGUAUGUAAAGCUCUAUCAGCAGGGAAGAAGGAAAUGACGGUACCUGACUAAGAAGCCCCGGCUAACUACGUGCCAGCAGCCGCGGUAAUACGUAGGGGGCAAGCGUUAUCCGGAUUUACUGGGUGUAAAGGGAGCGUAGACGGUAAUGCAAGUCUGAAGUGAAAUGCGGGGGCUCAACCCCUGAACUGCUUUGGAAACUGUAAAACUGGAGUGCAGGAGAGGUAAGUGGAAUUCCUAGUGUAGCGGUGAAAUGCGUAGAUAUUAGGAGGAACACCAGUGGCGAAGGCGGCUUACUGGACUGUAACUGACGUUGAGGCUCGAAAGCGUGGGGAGCAAACAGGAUUAGAUACCCUGGUAGUCCACGCCGUAAACG
This 812-nucleotide ribosomal RNA is filed under the name uncultured bacterium. RNAcentral's name for it is "bacterial SSU rRNA". It matches the Rfam family "Bacterial small subunit ribosomal RNA", at positions 8 to 808 of the family's 1533-position model. The record is from RNAcentral.